RNAcentral lists this transfer RNA (99 nucleotides) under Lodderomyces parapsilosis. RNAcentral describes it as "tRNA-Glu". It matches the Rfam family "tRNA". Rfam says of the family: Transfer RNA (tRNA) molecules are approximately 80 nucleotides in length. Lineage: Eukaryota; Fungi; Ascomycota; Pichiomycetes; Serinales; Debaryomycetaceae. The record is from RNAcentral. RNAcentral also lists the same sequence under 1 other name.
UCCUUUGUAGUGUAAUGGCUAUCACGGUUCGCUCUCAUUUGAAGAAUUCAUUCGAAAGAUUGCGCCGAGCAGAUCCGGGUUCGAUUCCCGGCAAGGGAG